UACGUAGGGGGCUAGCGUUGUCCGGAAUCAUUGGGCGUAAAGCGUGUGUAGGUGGCUCGCUAAGUCGGUUGUGAAAUCCCUGGGCUCAACCUGGGAAUUGCAGUCGAUACUGGCAAGCUCGAGUUCGGUAGAGGGUGACGGAAUUCCCGGUGUAGCGGUGAAAUGCGUAGAUAUCUGGAGGAACACCGGUGGCGAAGGCGGCGUUCUGGACUGCAUCUGACACUGAGGAACGAAAGCCAGGGGAGCAAACGGG
Molecule: ribosomal RNA, 253 nt
Filed under: uncultured bacterium
Lineage: Bacteria
Description: partial 16S ribosomal RNA
Rfam family: Bacterial small subunit ribosomal RNA
Source: RNAcentral